This 486-nucleotide ribosomal RNA is filed under the name uncultured bacterium. Its description in RNAcentral is "partial 16S ribosomal RNA". It matches the Rfam family "Bacterial small subunit ribosomal RNA", at positions 28 to 507 of the family's 1533-position model. The record is from RNAcentral.
GAUGAACGCUGGCGGCGUGCCUAAUACAUGCAAGUCGAACGCUGGAGAUCUAGCUUGCUAGAUCGAAGGAGUGGCGAACGGGUGAGUAAUACAUAAGCAACCUACCCACGAAGACUGGGAUAAUCUCUGGAAACGGGGACUAAUACCGGAUAGGUAAUCGGAAGGCAUCUUCUGGUUAUUAAAGGUUAAAAACACUGGUGGAUGGGCUUAUGGCGCAUUAGUUAGUUGGUGAGGUAACGGCCCACCAAGACGAUGAUGCGUAGCCGGCCUGAGAGGGUGAACGGCCACAUUGGGACUGAGACACGGCCCAGACUCCUACGGGAGGCAGCAGUAGGGAAUUUGCGGCAAUGGGGGCAACCCUGACCGAGCAACGCCGCGUGAGUGAAGACGGCCUUCGGGGUGUAAAGCUCUGUUGUAAGGGAAGAACGGUAGAUAGAGAAUAUCUAAGUGACGGUACCUUACCAGAAAGCCACGGCUAACUACGUG